ACUCCAGGAGCUGAAUUAUAAAUUGAAAGUGCAGGUUGUCUUUGAUAAAGACGUGAAUGAGAAGAACACUGUAAAAGGGUUUAGAAAAUUUAACAUCUUGGGGACGAAUACUAAAGUGAUGAACAUGGAGGAGUCAAACGGCAGUCUGUCGGCAGAAUUCAGACAUCUGCAAUUAAAGGAGCAGAAAAAUGUCUGCAGAACUAAUGAGG
Sphaerodactylus townsendi is the source of this 209-nucleotide long non-coding RNA. RefSeq lists it as uncharacterized. The transcript is spliced from 4 exons. The record is from RefSeq and is a predicted model, not a curated record. NCBI's taxonomy places the organism in Eukaryota, Metazoa, Chordata, Lepidosauria, Squamata, Sphaerodactylidae.